UUCUCUACAAAACUCAAGUUCUAAACUCUACUAAGAAACAAAAGAAUGGCCAUGGAACAAGAAUUAACGUGCCAACCCUCCCUAUAGCAUGUGCUGACGCUGACUCAGUUGGGCAAGCUGCUCGUGGGUCUUCCUAUGACGCACACAAGGAUGAUGAUGAUGAUGAUCUGCAAAUGUUGGAGGGUGUUAAUCUUUACAUUCAUUGAAACUGUCACUGGAAAAUGGCCAAUCCAAUAUAGGAUGCCAGCAACCUUUUUAUUUCUCCUUUGUGUAAAGGCUGGUUGCUUCAUGACUAUGCUUCCUUUUGAUGAUCAUCAG
RNAcentral lists this long non-coding RNA (318 nucleotides) under Elaeis guineensis (African oil palm). Its description in RNAcentral is "long non-coding RNA (EGUI_LNC076543)". The record is from RNAcentral. Lineage: Eukaryota; Viridiplantae; Streptophyta; Magnoliopsida; Arecales; Arecaceae.